UUGGGCGUAAAGAGCUCGUAGGCGGCCUGUCGCGUCGGAUGUGAAAGCCCACUGCUUAACGGUGGGUCUGCUUCCGAUACGGGCGGGCUGGAGUAUGGCAGGGGAGACUGGAAUUCCUGGUGUAGCGGUGGAAUGCGCAGAUAUCAGGAGGAACACCGGUGGCGAAGGCGGGUCUCUGGGCCAUUACUGACGCUGAGGAGCGAAAGCGUGGGGAGCGAACAGGAUUAGAUACCCUGGUAGUCCACGCCGUAAACGUUGGGCGCUAGGUGUGGGGACUGUUUCCACGGUCUCCCUGCCGGAGCUAACGCAUUAAGCGCCCCGCCUGGGGAGUACGGCCGCAAGG
Molecule: ribosomal RNA, 343 nt
Filed under: uncultured Actinospica sp.
Lineage: Bacteria; Bacillati; Actinomycetota; Actinomycetes; Catenulisporales; Actinospicaceae
Description: bacterial SSU rRNA
Rfam family: Bacterial small subunit ribosomal RNA
Source: RNAcentral